Molecule: ribosomal RNA, 479 nt
Filed under: uncultured bacterium
Lineage: Bacteria
Description: partial 16S ribosomal RNA
Rfam family: Bacterial small subunit ribosomal RNA
Source: RNAcentral
UGAACGCUGGCGGCGUGCCUAACACAUGCAAGUCGAACGGAGAUUACGGACGGAAGUUUUCGGAUGGAAGCCUGUAAUUCUUAGUGGCGGACGGGUGAGUAGCGCGUGGGCAACCUGCCCUAUACAGGGGGAUAGCAGCUGGAAACGGCUGGUAAGACCGCAUAAGUCGGUUAAAUCGCAUGAUUUGAUCGGGAAAUGAGCAAUCAGGUAUAGGAUGGGCCCGCGUCCGAUUAGCCAGUUGGCAGGGUAAAAGCCUACCAAAGCGACGAUCGGUAGCCGGACUGAGAGGUCGGACGGCCACAUUGGGACUGAGACACGGCCCAAACUCCUACGGGAGGCAGCAGUGGGGGAUAUUGCACAAUGGAGGAAACUCUGAUGCAGCGACGCCGCGUGAGUGAAGAAGUAUUUCGGUAUGUAAAGCUCUAUCAGCAGGGAAGAUGAUGACGGUACCUGACUAAGAAGCCCCGGCUAACUACGUG